GGAGGAAGAGGAAGUACGGUGUCCAAAUGAAAGCCUGGGGAAGCCAGCUGCUUGACAGCUUCUUUGAGAUGUCUCGGACGGAGCUGGCGGGGAAACUUCGAAUCCACACCGGGAAGAAUGGUCUUCCUUGAAGCUCGGCUACAGAGAGGACGAAGAAUGCACUGUGACAAAAUAAACCAUAACAACAAAGUAGACCAGAAGAAAACAAUGUAAGUGACACAGAUUUCAAAGCUAGACGACAAGAGAUCUACAGUGGCUACCAUAAUGUCUCUUGUUUUCUUCUAAAUAGUUGUCUAUAUUUUCACACAAUGAAUUCAUACAAAACAAAAUAGUAUAAAACUGAUCAGAACAGAGUGAUGAAGACAUAGGCUUUCAAAACCAGACAAUAGGAAAAUCAAUAAUGGUCAACAUAAUGUCUCUUGUUCACUUCAAAAUAGCUGUCCAUACCUUUAUAUAUGUUGAAAUUAAAUAAUACAAAACAGACUAAAACCACUCUAAACAAAGAAUAAAAUAACUACUGGAUUUCACAGCAUGACGACAUGGAAUCAGCAAUGGAUAUUAUAAUGUCUCUUCAAAGCAGCUGUUCAUUUCAUCACGCAUAUUACAAUCAAGUCUCAUAAACUGUUUAGGAGAAGUUCUAGACAUGUAUAAGCCUCUACAUGUAUGCCUAUCCUUUCUGCAUUAGAGGGAAAAACAAAUUACUAAAAAACAAGAAGCAAAAAAGAUAAAUAAUAGCAAGGAGCCUCAAACAAUGACAAUAUAGGCCUUCAAAACAAAGUAUAGGAACAUAACUAAGGUUGUUAUUUUACACUGUAGUUAUUUAUGUAUUUAUUUAUUUUUGGUACUUUGCACUUAACCAGGCAAGCACUUUAGCUGCUAAGACCCUGACUACACUGUGGUAAUUUUUAAGAGAUUCAGCAUUCAGCAUGUUUUUCUAUCACAUUGUGUAUCUUUUCAAUGAAAGUCUAUUCCAUCAAGAGAUAGAAAAACCAGCUCAGAAAUCAAGUGAGAUAGUACCCCAAAUCCAAGGUAAGUAGUAAUUUGUAUGAGUGAAGCUAGGAUCACAGAUCACUCCCCACUUUUUUUUGAGACAGGGUCCUGCUAUGCAGUUCAGCCUGGCCUUACAUUCAUUGCGUAGCCCAGGCUGGCCUUGAACUCACAGCAAUCCUCCUGCCUCAGCCUGUAGAAUGCUGGGAUGUGGGUGUGCACACCAUGCUAGCCGGACCAUUUCUUGAGUAAGGAAGCAGCACAACUUUCAUGAGUGGUUGCAAGUGAAACCUAGAGAGAAGAGGAUGUCACUUCUGCAGGGACUUAGUUGGAAUGGGAAAAUUUAUGAAUCAGAAAGGACAACAAACAGUGGAAUGCAAAUGGUCUGGAAAAGACUUGAAAAACAUCCAAUUAUAAGAUACUCAAGAAUACAUGUUCCCCACACUUCCCUCAGUGGUACCCACCUGCCCCCUGACAGUGUGCUGAGGUGAACAGCCUGUGAGUUGCUUUAGGGUUUUUCUUCUCAAAGGUUUUUAUUUUGAGUCUGAUUUUUAAAAUCAAACUCAUAUUCCAUUUCUCCCCAGUGAUUCACAGACACUGUUUUACUGUAUUUAUUGCUUAUCACCUGGAUAGUUAUAAACUGCAUUUCUAAGGGAUGAAAAAUUCUUGGUGGAAAAUAAUGGAACAAAGUCAAAAUCCUGGUGUGGUAAAGUGGAAAAGGCAUAGGUGUAACCUGGAUUUGAACUCAGGUCUUCUGCAUACCAUCACGAGCACUUUGGACAUGCUGGUGCACUCCAGAUGGUCUUAAAGACUCUCAGCCUGUACAAGUUCCUGUGUCCAGGCCUGCUGGUGUCCUCCUGCUGUGAAAUGCCUGCUUCAUCUGGACCAAUCCUGGAGUCCAGCUAUGGGCCAUACAAUGUACCCUAUUCCAUCUUUCUUUCCUUCUAGCACUGGGAUUGAAACCAAGAGCUUACAGAGCUGCACUCCCAUCCCUUCUUAUUUUAUCCUAAGACAGGGUCUCGUUAUGACUCCCAGGCUGGCCUUGAACUUGGGCUCCUCCACCAGGCCUCGCUCUGCCAGGUACCCAGCUGGGCGUGGCACCCUUGAAACGUGGGGGAUGCAAAAGCUGCAGUGAGGAGGGCCUUGGCUCUUGCUUUAUAAACUUGUAUAGUGAGAAAUCUUAACUAUUACCUAAUUCCAAAGGAUUAACAAGAAUCACUGUUGAAUUCACAGAAUUAAAUGAGAGUGAGCAGCAACAAUGGCAAGGAUGAAGCAUCUGAAGGAGCACAGCAGGUUGGGGGCUUCCAGUUGCUUCAUGUUUCAUUACUUUCUGGGAUCUUCCAUUCUUACAACAGAGCUUAGCAGUCUCACGUUAGAAAGUCUCUAAAGACCUGCAGCUGACAGGGAACCUGCAGCAUGCUGCCAGUCACAUGCGUCAGCCUGUAGAGCUGCAGACCACACAGGACACAGACCCAUCCUGCCCACCUCAGGCCACACUUGCGUCUCACUGCGAUGCAGCCACGGCAUCUUUGAACAUGAAGAUGCAUGGUGCAGGCUGAGUAGAGUAGGACCAGUGUGGCAGACAGAGCAUCAGGACAAAGUGCAGACAAAUGCUGGGCCAGUAGACCAGGCCACGGGUAACGGGCAGCAGAGACCUUCGGAAGGACGGGAUGAGGUGAUGGCCAUGCCUCCCUGUGCCAUGCUGCCAGUGACAGCCUCAGUGCCUGGUGCUUCCUGCAGUGCUGUGUUUUGGGCAGGGACUGAGCACAUGCAGCUUCCUGCACUGGCAGGAGUUGAGAGGAGGAACCAGUCCAAGCACAGUGUUUGGAGAUGGAGCCUGUGGAUCACAGUAGGAGGGAGCCUGAAUAAUGCUUGAUCGAAUCUUAAUGGCUUUGGAACAUCAGCCUAGGUUCAGUGGGGCCCAUUCUUUUUUACUAUAAAUCCAUCCUUUAGGGUAACAGUAGCUGGCUGUCUCAGUACCUUUCCUGAGGAUACAGGAAGCAAUUUGCGUUUAUACUCACUUGGUAUGAUGAACAACAAGGAGUGUACACCUGUGCAAAAGUUUGGCCCCCACCAUUAUCCUCCAGCUGACUGGUUUUGUGUAUGUUUACCCAAGCAUUGCCGAGGGUCCAACAGACCCAUACUACUCCAGGAUUUAUUUUUUUAAAAAAGUUUUCUUCUGAUUUUUCUGGUAGAACUAGCUCAGUUCAGUACAAUAGCACAUGAAAGGCGAGAUUUGCAAGUUUUGGAGGACUCGGAAGUGAAUCAUUAGACUGCUUGUGCAAAUGAUUCAUUGUGGUAAAACAUACGCCUUCACAGCAGAAGGGGGACACGGAUGGACGACAAUGGUGACUUGACACCUGCCAUAUGAGCCAAAGUUUGUGUGACAGUGAAACGAAGCAAGAAUCGACUGACUCAUAAACAGGUACUGCAGUCCUCCUUGAUGCAGAGGACAAAAAUAAACAGCAAUGUGAGUCCAUGUUUGACUAGGGAAAAUGUGCAAAAUGAUCACAAAUCCAAAUGGAAUGAUCCAAUGUUAGACCUAGGUCUGAAUAUACAGUGAGGGUCUUGGCAGGGACGAAAGGUAUUGGACAGAAUGGCAGCACUGCCAUUCAGUGUUGGAAAUUAUAACAGAUGAAAUGCUACAAGAUGCCAUGAAAUACACCAAGGCUGAAAUGCAAGUAAAACAUUCUGUAUGCACCAAUAGCCAUAUUUAAAAAUGUACUGUUAUGACACUAGCUGAACUGAAAGCAUUCAUAGGUCUGCUGUACUUGGCACUGAAUUCUUAUGUGAUUGCAGGAAUAUAAAGGACAUGGAAAAGUGACAGGUCAAAAUGUGAUAUAAAAAUCUGUGCCCUUAUAGAUGCGAAGACUUACUAAGCUCUCCGUUCAGACAUGUGUCCUGGGACUCAGCCAUCAGAUCCUUAUUUAUACAGUAAUAAACUGAAUGAUGAUGUGAACAGACUGGCUGCUCCCACCUCCCAAACUAAUCAGAAUGUGACAUUCAACAUGGUUUACUGGUUUCUAAUCCAUGUUACAUUUGCUAGCACAGCACAAGUUGACCAAGGCAAGAACUGUACCCAAGAAAGGAAGUAUAACUUCUGAAAAAAUGUUGCAAUUUCUUCUUUUUCUUCCUCGUCCUCCUCUUCCUUCUUUUUUCUUUUUGAGCCAGGGUCUCAUUAUGCAGUUCAGGUUGACCUUCAACUCACUUUGUAGCCAAGGCUGGCCUUGAACUCAUAGCAGUUCUCCUGCUUCAUCCUUCCAAGUGAUGGUAUUACAGGCAUGUGCCACCAUGCCUGGCUGAAAUAUUGCAAUUUCAAAACAGAGAACUGGGAGACCGGCCUCUGCCUGCCAGGUGACGCCACCAGAAGGCCCUUGCUCCUGUGCACCCAGUGUGGGUCAAAAGAACCAGGAGAUUGGCCUCAGCCUGCUGAGUGCUGCCACCUGAAGGCUCAUUCUUUGGUGCGCCCAGUGUGGGUUGAAGGAGACAGACAGAUUCACCAUUGCCUGUUGUGUGCUGCCACUAAAAGGCCACAUCCUGCAGGUGGCCAGCAUGGGCAGCAGAUCCAUCUUCACCCUCAGGGAGCUGCCACCAGAAGGCUCCUUCAUGCAGGCAGCCAGCAGGAGCAGGGACACACAGCCAGGUAAGCCCUAUGAGUAUCUGUAGGCCACCAUUGGAGGCCCUUGGUUCCCUCAGGCAGCCAUCACCCACUAGCUGAAUCAAACACACUCCUGUGUGUCUGCUACCAUUGUGGGAGUCCCAGUGUAGACACACAGGCUAAGAGAAGCAGCCCCACCUAUAUGUACCCCUGAUCAUCACAGUGUAGCUGCAUAGGUCUAGAGAGGCCUGCCCCACACCCUGCUAUCUCUCUGUAAAUCUGGAAUUAGAGGAACACAGGUGCCUGUCCCAUCCCCCUACACUGCCUGGGGCAGCCAACAUGGAAAGCACUUGGGAUCCCACAACCAGCUUGUUGGGAGGAAUCUAGGAGAAUGUCAAGAAGGAGCAAAAGGCAAACUAAGACACAGAAUAAGUCUGGGAGAUACAGUUAUGGAAGAAAACAGAAGUCACAUACCUGAAAUCUCUGAGAUGAUAGCAACUGAAGUAAGGAAACAACUUUAUGAGAUUAUAAAAGCAGUCAAAUCAGAAAUAAUGUCUCAGGCAAAAGAAGAAAUCAUAAACAUACUGAAAGAAUUGUUCAGCAGGUCUAAAUAAGACAGACAAUAAAGAGGAGCAAAGGAAAAUGAUGGAAACCUUGAAUCAAUGUAGAAAGGGAUUACAAUGCAUGCAACAGCUUCAAAGAAAAAUUCAGGGAAUUAAAAAUUCAAUCGAAAGCUGGCAAACCCACUUGAAAAAGACUGAAGAUAGACUUUCAAACUUUGAAGAUAGGAUUGCAGCUAGUGAUUGUAAAAGGAAAGAUCUCUUAAAAGAACAAGGAAUCAGGAAAUAACAAUCCAAUGGCUGCAAGAUGAUGCAAAGAAGUAUAACUUAAGAGUGAUAGGUGUAGGUGAAAAUGCAGGAGUCAACACAAAUGAAAUUAAAAGGAUAUUCACAGAAGUAAUAAAAGAAAACUUGCCAAGCAUGGGAAAUGGAUCUGGCAUGCAGACAAGUGAGGCAUAUAGGACUCCAACUAGCCAUAACCAAAGUAAAUCUACACCCAGACAUAUAAUAAUCAAGAUCCCAGAAAUUCAGCACAAGAACAGAAUAUUAAAGCUGUUAGAGAAAAGACACAGAUCACCUAUAAAGGAAAACCAAUCAGAAUCACAGCAGACUUGUCAAUACAAACCAUCAAGUCAAGAGUUUGGAGUGAAGUGUUUCAAACCCUAAAGGAAACAACUUCCAAUUCAGAUUGAUCUACCCUGCAAAACCAUCUUUUAAAAUUGACGGAAAAUAAUAUACUUCCAUGAUAAAGAACAACUGAAGGAAUUCAUGACUACCGAACCAACCCUACAGAGAGUGCUAAAGGAUAUUAUAGAAAGAGAUAAAGCUGAUCAUGGUUCCAGGAACAGCACAGAGGAGGAUCACCAAACAAGACAGGCAACUGAAUGAAGGGGAAAAGUGGAGGGCCAACAACUGGAGGAUAGGAGGGCAGAGACAAACCAAUGUAUGCUGGUUGUAACCAUUAAUGUAGAUGGCCUCACUACAGCAAUAAAAAGAAACACAGAAUGGAUCAGGAAACAAGACCUAUCGAUAUUCUGUAUACUAAAAAGGAAAUUCAUAGACCGAAAAUGAAAGGAGAGAAAACAAUUGUUCCAUGUGACAGGAGACCAAAAAAAAAAAAAAAAAAAAAAAGAGUACCUUGCCCAUCAACCACAGAAUGGAUAAGAAAGUUAUGGUAUUUUCAUGCAAUGGAAAGCUACCCAUCUAUAAAGUAGAAUAAUCUCAAGGCUCCUGUAGGUAAGUGGACACAACUGGAGAUCAUGCUCAUGGCUGAAACAGUUCGAACUCAUACGUGUGAACCCUAACAUAAGAAACAGAAGGCAUUAAUGGGAUCCAAAAGCAAAACAGUUAAUGUAAGAGCAAAGGGGAGGAAAUACCUGGGAGGGGAAGGUGGAAACUACUGUCAAUUUUUUAUUGUCUUAUCUUGAACUCUUGCAUUGUUUACAUAGUUUUGUUAGGUUUGGCUUUGUUCUGUCUUGUUAGGUUCUAUGCUGUCAGAUGGUAGGGGCAGUUAUUUUGAAUAUAAUGGGAUAUAUUAUGGUAAUCCUGGUUUCCUAUUAUAUUGCUUUGAAGUCUUAUAAUGCUUUCAUUUGUUUGAUUGGUUUUAUUGUUUUGUUUUAUUUUAUUAUGUGUAAUGGUAUGAAUAGCUGUUUUGAAGAAAACAAGACAUUAUGGUAGCCACUGCUGAUUUACUAUCAUCUUGCUUUGAAGUCCUACCAUGCUUUUGUUCUGCUUUGAUUGGUUUUUAUCCUAUUGUGUUUUGAUUUUUAUUAUGUGAUGGUAUAGACAAAAUUUUUUGAGGAAAGUGAGAUAUUAUAGUAGCCAUUGUUCAUUUCCUGUUAUUUGGUUUUGAAGUCCUGUGAUGCUUUCAUUCUUUUGAAUGAUUUUAUACUAUAUUGUUAUGUUUGAUAUUAAUAUGUGUGAAGCUAUGCUCAUCUAUUUUGAAGAAAAAAGAGACAUUAUGGUACCUACAGCUGAUGUCCGGUUGUCUUGUUGUGAAGUACUGUGUUGCUUGUAUUGUUCUGUUCUGGUUUGCUUUGUUUUGUUCUCUUUUGUUUUAUUCUCUUUAAAAUAAAAAAAUUUUUAAAACCCAGAGAA
Molecule: long non-coding RNA, 7242 nt
Organism: Cavia porcellus (domestic guinea pig)
Lineage: Eukaryota; Metazoa; Chordata; Mammalia; Rodentia; Caviidae
Exons: 2
Source: RefSeq, a predicted model, not a curated record